CUGGACGAAGGAGACAGUGAGCAGGACUGUCAUCACCUAGCUUCAGAAAGCACCCCCUCUCUGUGACGCUCAGUUCCUGGCCGACCUUCAGCCAUGAAGAUUCUUUACCUGCUCUUUGCUGUUGUCUUCUUGGUGCUCAUGGAUGCCCCAGGUUUCUCCCAUGCUGUGGUGACCCAAAAAGGGUGUAGACGCCUUUGGGGUGAAUGUUACUUUUGGCGAUGUCCCACCAAUGCUAUGUACCUUGACAAAUGCUAUUUUGGCCAUUGCUGUCAAAGACCUAUUGGCUGAUUGUCUAAGCAGGAUCUCAGGGAAUCGCGGAGACAGCCACUUGCUUCUAAAAUCAUCAGACCCUGCUUCAAUGGAACCCUGAAGUGUUGCUGUUCACUUGGGCUGUAAAGAACUUUGUGAGUUGGAGAAAUUUAAA
Mauremys mutica (yellowpond turtle) is the source of this 424-nucleotide long non-coding RNA. RefSeq lists it as uncharacterized. The transcript has 4 exons. The record is from RefSeq and is a predicted model, not a curated record. Lineage: Eukaryota; Metazoa; Chordata; Testudines; Geoemydidae.